RNAcentral lists this unclassified non-coding RNA (363 nucleotides) under uncultured bacterium. RNAcentral describes it as "contains 16S-23S intergenic spacer region". The record is from RNAcentral.
UCCCUGUUGCCAGGGCAGUCUAGCCAGAGAAAUCCAACUGACUAUAAGGGUUGCGCUCGUUGAUGGACUUAACCAAACAUCUCACGACACGAGCUGACGACGGCCAUGCAUCACCUGUCAUCGGGUUCCCGAAGGCACAGCUUUCUUUCGAAAGCCUUCCCGAGAUGUCAAACCUGGGUAAGGUUCUUCGCUUAUCAUCGAAUUAAACAACACGCUCCACCGCUUGUGCGGGUCCCCGUCAAUUCCUUUAUGUUUUAAGCUUGCGCUCGUACUCCACAGGCGGGAUGCUUAACGCGUUAGCUUCGCUACUACCAGGGUCGAUACUGAUAACAGCUAGCAUCCAUCGUUUACGGCGUGGACUAC